RNAcentral lists this transfer RNA (87 nucleotides) under Parcubacteria bacterium DG_72. RNAcentral's name for it is "tRNA-Ser". It matches the Rfam family "tRNA". Rfam says of the family: Transfer RNA (tRNA) molecules are approximately 80 nucleotides in length. Their secondary structure includes four short double-helical elements and three loops (D, anti-codon, and T loops). Lineage: Bacteria; Candidatus Parcubacteria. The record is from RNAcentral.
GGAGGGGUCGGAUAGCGGCUUAUUCCAGCGGUUUUGAAAACCGCCGUCCUCACGGACUCGUGGGUUCGAAUCCCACCCCCUCCGCAA